GAUGAACGCUGGCGGCGUGCCUAAUACAUGCAAGUCGAGCGAACGGACGAGAAGCUUGCUUCUCUGAUGUUAGCGGCGGACGGGUGAGUAACACGUGGAUAACCUACCUAUAAGACUGGGAUAACUUCGGGAAACCGGAGCUAAUACCGGAUAAUAUUUUGAACCGCAUGGUUCAAAAGUGAAAGACGGUCUUGCUGUCACUUAUAGAUGGAUCCGCGCUGCAUUAGCUAGUUGGUAAGGUAACGGCUUACCAAGGCAACGAUGCAUAGCCGACCUGAGAGGGUGAUCGGCCACACUGGAACUGAGACACGGUCCAGACUCCUACGGGAGGCAGCAGUAGGGAAUCUUCCGCAAUGGGCGAAAGCCUGACGGAGCAACGCCGCGCGAGUGAUGAAGGUCUUCGGAUCGUAAAACUCUGUUAUUAGGGAAGAACAUAUGUGUAAGUAACUGUGCACAUCUUGACGGUACCUAAUCAGAAAGCCACGGCUAACUACGUGCCAGCAGCCGCGGUAAUACGUAGGUGGCAAGCGUUAUCCGGAAUUAUUGGGCGUAAAGCGCGCGUAGGCGGUUUUUUAAGUCUGAUGUGAAAGCCCACGGCUCAACCGUGGAGGGUCAUUGGAAACUGGAAAACUUGAGUGCAGAAGAGGAAAGUGGAAUUCCAUGUGUAGCGGUGAAAUGCGCAGAGAUAUGGAGGAACACCAGUGGCGAAGGCGACUUUCUGGUCUGUAACUGACGCUGAUGUGCGAAAGCGUGGGGAUCAAACAGGAUUAGAUACCCUGGUAGUCCACGCCGUAAACGAUGAGUGCUAAGUGUUAGGGGGUUUCCGCCCCUUAGUGCUGCAGCUAACGCAUUAAGCACUCCGCCUGGGGAGUACGACCGCAAGGUUGAAACUCAAAGGAAUCGACGGGGACCCGCACAAGCGGUGGAGCAUGUGGUUUAAUUCGAAGCAACGCGAAGAACCUUACCAAAUCUUGACAUCCUUUGACAACUCUAGAGAUAGAGCCUUCCCCUUCGGGGGACAAAGUGACAGGUGGUGCAUGGUUGUCGUCAGCUCGUGUCGUGAGAUGUUGGGUUAAGUCCCGCAACGAGCGCAGCCCUUAAGCUUAGUUGCCAUCAUUAAGUUGGGCACUCUAAGUUGACUGCCGGUGACAAACCGGAGGAAGGUGGGGAUGACGUCAAAUCAUCAUGCCCCUUAUGAUUUGGGCUACACACGUGCUACAAUGGACAAUACAAAGGGCAGCGAAACCGCGAGGUCAAGCAAAUCCCAUAAAGUUGUUCUCAGUUCGGAUUGUAGUCUGCAACUCGACUACAUGAAGCUGGAAUCGCUAGUAAUCGUAGAUCAGCAUGCUACGGUGAAUACGUUCCCGGGUCU
RNAcentral lists this ribosomal RNA (1372 nucleotides) under uncultured bacterium. Its description in RNAcentral is "bacterial SSU rRNA". It matches the Rfam family "Bacterial small subunit ribosomal RNA", at positions 28 to 1381 of the family's 1533-position model. The record is from RNAcentral.